This 382-nucleotide long non-coding RNA is filed under the name Zostera marina. RNAcentral describes it as "long non-coding RNA (ZMAR_LNC005241)". Lineage: Eukaryota; Viridiplantae; Streptophyta; Magnoliopsida; Alismatales; Zosteraceae. The record is from RNAcentral.
AAAAGAAGAGAAAAUAGCGAAGCCUUACAGAAGUAGAAGUUUCAAUCAUGACGAAACUAACAGUGAGUAAAUUCAAUAUUUUAAUUUCAUAUUUAUUUAAAAAAAUCUUUACCUAACAUUAAAUUCAUACUCCCUCAUUUAGUUAAGCAUCGGCAUCGCUCUGGAAUUUCCACAUACAAUAAAGCAACGCGACUUGGUUCUGUUCAAUUCAAUGAGAAUCAAAGCCAUUGUUUUUGGGCAUUUCUAUGCGGUCCCAGAUUGUGGUUAAUUGUCGAAUUAUGAGUAAUUGCCCGACUGCGACAUUAGAAGAAAGAUUGUCGUCAAAGCUAUCACCGCCAUCAAUCAAAGUACGCUAAAUGAUAGCUUAUCUAAAUCAAAUGAG